This 23-nucleotide non-coding RNA is filed under the name Cricetulus griseus (Chinese hamster). Lineage: Eukaryota; Metazoa; Chordata; Mammalia; Rodentia; Cricetidae. The record is from RNAcentral.
CCUGGCGACCCCUCUAGCAGCUG